GUCCUUGUUGCCGGUGGACUUCAGACCGGCGCUCACGCCAGCGGCGCGGAAACCGGCAGGUGCGGUGACGCUCAUGGUGCGACUCCCUGCGUGGUCA
Molecule: transfer RNA, 97 nt
Filed under: Flavimobilis marinus
Lineage: Bacteria; Bacillati; Actinomycetota; Actinomycetes; Micrococcales; Jonesiaceae
Description: tRNA-Gly
Source: RNAcentral